Molecule: ribosomal RNA, 381 nt
Filed under: uncultured eukaryote
Lineage: Eukaryota
Description: SSU rRNA
Rfam family: Eukaryotic small subunit ribosomal RNA
Source: RNAcentral
AGCUCCAAUAGCGUAUAUUAAAGUUGUUGCGGUUAAAAGCUCGUAGUUGGAUUUCUGUCAGGGGCAGCGGGUCAUCACUUCGUGAUUGUAUCUUGCUCGUCUUUGGCAUCCUCCCGGCGAACGUUACUGUGAUUCGUUUCGUGGUGCGGUUAUCGGGACUUUUACUUUGAGGAAAUUAGAGUGUUCACGGCAGGCUUUCGCGAUGAAUACAUUAGCAUGGAAUAAUAAUAUAGGACCUUGGUUCUAUUUUGUUGGUUUCUAGAACUGAGGUAAUGAUUAAUAGGGAUAAUUGGGGGCAUUCGUAUUACACGCGUCAGAGGUGAAAUUCUUAGAUUGCGUUAAGACGAACUACUGCGAAAGCAUUUGCCAAGGAUGUUUUCA